CAGGACGAACGCUGGCGGCGUGCCUAAUACAUGCAAGUCGAGCGAAUCUGAGGGAGCUUGCUCCCAAAGAUUAGCGGCGGACGGGUGAGUAACACGUGGGCAACCUGCCUGUAAGACUGGGAUAACUUCGGGAAACCGGAGCUAAUACCGGAUAAUCCCUUUCCUCACAUGAGGAAAGGCUGAAAGACGGUUUCGGCUGUCACUUACAGAUGGGCCCGCGGCGCAUUAGCUAGUUGGUGAGGUAACGGCUCACCAAGGCCACGAUGCGUAGCCGACCUGAGAGGGUGAUCGGCCACACUGGGACUGAGACACGGCCCAGACUCCUACGGGAGGCAGCAGUAGGGAAUCUUCCGCAAUGGACGAAAGUCUGACGGAGCAACGCCGCGUGAGUGAUGAAGGUUUUCGGAUCGUAAAACUCUGUUGUUAGGGAAGAACAAGUAUCGGAGUAACUGCCGGUACCUUGACGGUACCUAACCAGAAAGCCACGGCUAACUACGUGCCAGCAGCCGCGGUAAUACGUAGGUGGCAAGCGUUGUCCGGAAUUAUUGGGCGUAAAGCGCGCGCAGGUGGUUCCUUAAGUCUGAUGUGAAAGCCCACGGCUCAACCGUGGAGGGUCAUUGGAAACUGGGGAACUUGAGUGCAGAAGAGGAAAGUGGAAUUCCAAGUGUAGCGGUGAAAUGCGUAGAGAUUUGGAGGAACACCAGUGGCGAAGGCGACUUUCUGGUCUGUAACUGACACUGAGGCGCGAAAGCGUGGGGAGCGAACAGGAUUAGAUACCCUGGUAGUCCACGCCGUAAACGAUGAGUGCUAAGUGUUAGAGGGUUUCCGCCCUUUAGUGCUGCAGCAAACGCAUNAAGCACUCCGCCUGGGGAGUACGACCGCAAGGUUGAAACUCAAAGGAAUUGACGGGGGCCCGCACAAGCGGUGGAGCAUGUGGUUUAAUUCGAAGCAACGCGAAGAACCUUACCAGGUCUUGACAUCCUCUGACAAUCCUAGAGAUAGGACGUUCCCCUUCGGGGGACAGAGUGACAGGUGGUGCAUGGUUGUCGUCAGCUCGUGUCGUGAGAUGUUGGGUUAAGUCCCGCAACGAGCGCAACCCUUGAUCUUAGUUGCCAGCAUUCAGUUGGGCACUCUAAGGUGACUGCCGGUGACAAACCGGAGGAAGGUGGGGAUGACGUCAAAUCAUCAUGCCCCUUAUGACCUGGGCUACACACGUGCUACAAUGGAUGGUACAAAGGGCUGCAAGACCGCGAGGUUUAGCCAAUCCCAUAAAACCAUUCUCAGUUCGGAUUGCAGGCUGCAACUCGCCUGCAUGAAGCCGGAAUCGCUAGUAAUCGCGGAUCAGCAUGCCGCGGUGAAUACGUUCCCGGGCCUUGUACACACCGCCCGUCACACCACGAGAGUUUGUAACACCCGAAGUCGGUGGGGUAACCUUUGGAGCCAGCCGCCUAAGGUGGACAGAUGAUG
The sequence is a ribosomal RNA, 1467 nucleotides long. It matches the Rfam family "Bacterial small subunit ribosomal RNA".